Molecule: small nuclear RNA, 175 nt
Gene: U2
Rfam family: U2 spliceosomal RNA
About the family: U2 is a small nuclear RNA (snRNA) component of the spliceosome (involved in pre-mRNA splicing). Complementary binding between U2 snRNA (in an area lying towards the 5' end but 3' to hairpin I) and the branchpoint sequence (BPS) of the intron results the bulging out of an unpaired adenosine, on the BPS, which initiates a nucleophilic attack at the intronic 5' splice site, thus starting the first of two transesterification reactions that mediate splicing.
Source: Ensembl
AAACUUUUUUCGAAAGAAAAAUUCUGUUCUUCAGUUUAAUAUCUGAUACGUCCCCUACCUGGGGGACCAUAUAUUAAAUUAAUUUUUGCACCAAGGUGAUGGAAUAUGGGGCUUGCUCUGUCCACUCCUCACAUUGACCCAGUAUUGCAGUAUCUCCAGAAAUGGCUCACAGCCU